This 72-nucleotide transfer RNA is filed under the name Bos taurus (domestic cattle). It matches the Rfam family "tRNA". Rfam says of the family: Transfer RNA (tRNA) molecules are approximately 80 nucleotides in length. Their secondary structure includes four short double-helical elements and three loops (D, anti-codon, and T loops). The record is from Rfam by way of RNAcentral. RNAcentral also lists the same sequence under 2 other names. Lineage: Eukaryota; Metazoa; Chordata; Mammalia; Artiodactyla; Bovidae.
UCCGUGGUGGCUCAGACGGUAAAGCGUCUGCCUGCAACGCGGGAGACCCAGGUUCGAUCCCUGGGUACGGAA